Molecule: ribosomal RNA, 428 nt
Filed under: uncultured bacterium
Lineage: Bacteria
Description: bacterial SSU rRNA
Rfam family: Bacterial small subunit ribosomal RNA
Source: RNAcentral
GACGAACGCUGGCGGCGUGCCUAAUACAUGCAAGUCGAACGGUCUUUUCUAUGGAAGCUUGCUUCCGCUGAGAAGAUAGUGGCGGACGGGUGAGUAACACGUGGGUAACCUGCCCAUAAGAGGGGGAUAACAUCCGGAAACGGGUGCUAAUACCGCAUAGUUUUCUUGAUCGCAUGAUCGGGAAAGGAAAGACGGCCUUUGUGCUGUCGCUUAUGGAUGGACCCGCGGCGUAUUAGUUAGUUGGUGAGGUAAUGGCUCACCAAGACGAUGAUACGUAGCCGACCUGAGAGGGUGAUCGGCCACAUUGGGACUGAGACACGGCCCAAACUCCUACGGGAGGCAGCAGUAGGGAAUCUUCCGCAAUGGACGAAAGUCUGACGGAGCAACGCCGCGUGAGUGAAGAAGGUUUUCGGAUCGUAAAACUCUGU